Molecule: unclassified non-coding RNA, 307 nt
Filed under: fungal sp.
Lineage: Eukaryota; Fungi
Description: partial internal transcribed spacer region
Rfam family: Eukaryotic small subunit ribosomal RNA (bases 1-46)
Source: RNAcentral
AAGUCGUAACAAGGUUUCCGUAGGUGAACCUGCGGAAGGAUCAUUAACACUUUUUCCAAAACUCCUUUACUCUUUUUGGUGCUUAAAAAAACCAAAAAAGAUUUAGGUUUUAACCCCAAUUUAUUGCGAACGAUGAUUUUCCAAAAUCAUUCUUCUCUUCUUUAUCCUCUUUUUUUAUUUUUACCCCAAUUUUUUACAAAAAUCCAAAGCCUGAUAUAAAAUCGUCUUUCUCUUUUUUUUUCAAAAGAGACCGACGACCGAAACCUAAUGGUUAAAACAACUCUUAGCAACGGAUAUCUUGGCUCUC